RNAcentral lists this ribosomal RNA (373 nucleotides) under uncultured organism. RNAcentral's name for it is "bacterial SSU rRNA". It matches the Rfam family "Bacterial small subunit ribosomal RNA", at positions 526 to 896 of the family's 1533-position model. The record is from RNAcentral.
CGUAGGGUGCGAGCGUUAAUCGGAAUUACUCGGGCGUAAAGCGUGCGCAGGCGGUUUAGUAAGACAGGCGUGAAAUCCCCGGGCUCAACCUGGGAACUGCGCUUGUGACUGCUAAGCUAGAGUAUGGCAGAGGGGGGUGGAAUUCCACGUGUAGCAGUGAAAUGCGUAGAGAUGUGGAGGAACACCAAUGGCGAAGGCAGCCCCCUGGGUCGAUACUGACGCUCAUGCACGAAAGCGUGGGUAGCAAACAGGAUUAGAUACCCUGGUAGUCCACGCCCUAAACGAUGUCAACUAGGUGUUGGGAGGGUAAAACCUUUUAGUACCGGAGCUAACGCGUGAAGUUGACCGCCUGGGGAGUACGGCCGCAAGGUUA